RNAcentral lists this ribosomal RNA (638 nucleotides) under uncultured bacterium. Its description in RNAcentral is "bacterial SSU rRNA". It matches the Rfam family "Bacterial small subunit ribosomal RNA", at positions 93 to 740 of the family's 1533-position model. The record is from RNAcentral.
AAGUGGCGAACGGGUGAGUAAUACGUGGGUAACCUGCCUCUGAGUUGGGGAUAACCCGCCGAAAGGCGGGCUAAUACCGAAUAAGACCAAGGGAUCAAAGAUGGCCUAUGACCCGCAAGGGUUAUGCUGUCGCUUGGAGAGGGGCUCACUUCCCAUCAGCUAGUUGGUAGGGUAAUGGCCUACCAAGGCAAUGACGGGUAGCUGGUCUGAGAGGACGACCAGCCACACUGGCACUGAGACACGGCCCAGACUCCUACGGGAGGCAGCAGUGGGGAAUCUUGCGCAAUGGGCGAAAGCCUGACGCAGCAACGCCGCGUGCGGGAUGAAGGCCCUCGGGUUGUAAACCGCUUUCAGCAGGAACGAAAAUGACGGUACCUGCAGAAGAAGGUCCGGCCAACUACGUGCCAGCAGCCGCGGUAACACGUAGGGACCAAGCGUUGUCCGGAUUUAUUGGGCGUAAAGCGCUCGUAGGCGGUUCGGUAAGUCGGGUGUGAAACCUCUGGGCUCAACCCAGAGACGCCACCCGAUACUGCCGUGACUUGAGUUCGGUAGGGGAGCGGGGAAUUCCUGGUGUAGCGGUGAAAUGCGCAGAUAUCAGGAGGAACACCGGUGGCGAAGGCGCCGCUCUGGGCCGAUAC